Molecule: non-coding RNA, 73 nt
Organism: Cervus elaphus (red deer)
Lineage: Eukaryota; Metazoa; Chordata; Mammalia; Artiodactyla; Cervidae
Source: the annotation of a RefSeq genome assembly
UCCCUGGUGGUCUAGUGGGUAAGGCUCUGUGCUUAUAAUGCAGAUGGCCCAGGUUUGAUCCCUGGUCAGGGAA